CUACGGGGGGCUGCAGUGGGGAAUAUUGCACAAUGGGCGCAAGCCUGAUGCAGCCAUGCCGCGUGUAUGAAGAAGGCCUUCGGGUUGUAAAGUACUUUCAGCGGGGAGGAAGGGAGUAAAGUUAAUACCUUUGCUCAUUGACGUUACCCGCAGAGGAAGCACCGGCUAACUCCGUGCCAGCAGCCGCGGUAAUACGGAGGGUGCAAGCGUUAAUCGGAAUUACUGGGCGUAAAGCGCACGCAGGCGGUUUGUUAAGUCAGAUGUGAAAUCCCCGGGCUCAACCUGGGAACUGGAUCUGAUGCGAGGAAGUUAGAGUGGGGGGGAGGGAGGUGGAAUGCCAGGGGUAGAGGGGAAAUGCGUAGAGAUCGGGAGGAGUACCGGUGGCGAAGGCGGCGAUAUGGACGAAGACUGCCGCUCAGGUGCGACAGCGUGGGGAGCAAACAGGAUUAGAUACCCGGGUAGUC
RNAcentral lists this ribosomal RNA (464 nucleotides) under uncultured bacterium. RNAcentral's name for it is "partial 16S ribosomal RNA". It matches the Rfam family "Bacterial small subunit ribosomal RNA", at positions 339 to 795 of the family's 1533-position model. The record is from RNAcentral.